ACGGGGCCCGCACAAGCGGAGGAACAUGUGGUUUAAUUCGAUGAUACGCGAGGAACCUUACCUGGGCUUAAAUGUAGAGUGCAUUCCCGAGAAAUCGGGAUUUUCUUCGGAACUCUUUUGCAAGGUGCUGCAUGGUUGUCGUCAGCUCGUGCCGUGAGGUGUCGGGUUAAGUCCCAUAACGAGCGCAACCCUUAUCGUUAGUUGCCAGCGGGUAAUGCCGGGAACUCUAGCGAAACUGCCGGUGUAAACCGUGAGGAAGGUGGGAUGACGUCAAAUCAGCACGGCCCUUAUGUCCAGGGCUACACACGUGUUACAAUGGCCGGUACAGAGGGCAGCUACCUGGAGACAGGAUGCGAAUCUCCAAAGCCGGUCUCAGUUCGGAUCGGAGUCUGCAACUCGACUCCGUGAAGCUGGAUUCGCUAGUAAUCGCGCAUCAGCCAUGGCGCGGUGAAUACGUUCCCGGGCCUU
This 468-nucleotide ribosomal RNA is filed under the name uncultured Sphingobacteriales bacterium. RNAcentral describes it as "bacterial SSU rRNA". It matches the Rfam family "Bacterial small subunit ribosomal RNA", at positions 916 to 1381 of the family's 1533-position model. Lineage: Bacteria; Pseudomonadati; Bacteroidota; Sphingobacteriia; Sphingobacteriales. The record is from RNAcentral.